GAAAUGCGAUAAGUAAUGUGAAUUGCAGAAUCCAGUGAAUCAUCGAAACCUUGAACGCAAAUUGCGCUUGGAGGAUCUCCUCCAAGCAUGCCUGUUGGAGCGUGGGUUCACCAAUCCAAACGCAUCGAAAAAGGUGCGAGUUGGGACAUGGGGAAGUCGGGGCAAUGAUGCCUCGUCCCCCGAAAUGAAUGGGCAUAAACCCGUGCGAUUAGAUCCGAGCCGUAUGCCGAGCUGCGUCCUAUGGACAUACCGGCGCCUGGCAUGGAUCGAAAGCCGGUUCCUUUAUGCAAAGGAAAAAAGGGACCUACUAUGGAUGGUAGGAAGUACAAGACUUUCCACCUCCAAUCAGGCGAGUUUACCCGCUGAAUUUAA
This 372-nucleotide unclassified non-coding RNA is filed under the name uncultured Cystofilobasidiales. RNAcentral describes it as "sequence contains ITS1". The stretch from base 1 to 105 matches the Rfam family "5.8S ribosomal RNA", at positions 50 to 154 of the family's 154-position model. Lineage: Eukaryota; Fungi; Basidiomycota; Tremellomycetes; Cystofilobasidiales. The record is from RNAcentral.